ACGAGCAGUCCCCCCUCCCCCUUCCCACCACGACUGCGCCACCGCACCCUCGGGCCCACCGCCGCCUGGCCGCCUCCUCCCUCGCGCGCGGCCAUGGCCCACCCUCCCUGGAGCAGACAAAGGCCAGUUUAUUUUAGCUUCGACUUCUUUAGAAACAGCUUUACCUGUUCACAGAAACCAUAUUGGAGAGAAGCUAUUGAGAGACCUGAGUCUAUUGAGAGGCCCGAGUCCAGUUAUUUUUGGUUUUCGUCUUUUUCUGAUUCAUAAAAACCGUCGCCUAUUUUGUACUAAUUUGGCGACAAUUUUUAUGUAUCAGAGGGAUUAUUAGAUACUCCAUAUUUGAUAUAAUGAAAUAAAAAAAGAAAAGGAAAAUCAUCACCAAAAGAUAAGCCUCCACAAAAACAUUGUGACCAAGUGACAAUACAAGAUAAAACAUGUUAAUGGAAAUCCACCACUGAACACAAGUGGAUCCAUCCAUCCAUCUAUGAAAUUACAACUUUUGCAUAAUGAUUACAACAAGAUGGAGGGAAAGAAGGGCACAAUGCAUGGUAUUUAUGAACUUGCACCCAGAGUUUACACUUGAAAUUGCUUAACGAAGGCACCGUAUCCAGUGAAUCCGUUACAUGUCGUGUAUCCCUGCAUCCCUUCGUUUUGCACCCAACGAUCCAAAUCAUGCGCCUCACGUCCGGUUCAAUGCAAAAUUACAAUCACCGCCCGCUUCCAGGCUUGGCAAGCUAUACUUUUGCAAAAACACCCGCAUAUCGCUAAAUCCCCAAGCCCACCAACCGUAAUCAGCGCUCCCUGCCUAAGAUCUGGUUCAUGGCCUAAUUCCCGUGCGGCCUUUGCUAUGAAUCAUAAAUCCUGAUCAACGGCGAUGUUGGCAAUCACCCGGCGGCCGGCGUUGUCUGGUGAGGGUGGCCUCGAGGAUGUCCUAUGAUGGCACCCUCGAAGGCCUCCAGCACCUGUGGCGACCACCUGAAUCGACGACAACCUCGUGAUGGUGCAAGCCCUGAACCUGAAACCCAAUAGAUGGUCUCUCGAGUCAUGGCUUCCGUAAGGAUUCGUCCGUGAUCGAAGAAGCCGUAGCAGAGCGAUUAGCAGAUCAAUUGAUUCGCGCAUUAUGAAUCAAAGAAGUAUGGCCCGGCGGACGGAGUUGGGUAAAUGGGCAGUCGAUGCACAAUGCAGUCAAACUACAUCAAGGGUCAACCUAAAGACCAAAAACAAGCGCUACCAGGAGACAACCUGGGAAUAAAGUUCAUUUUCAGUAAUUUUCCCUUUUUGUUUUUAUGAGGUGUGUUUUAUGUUUGUCUUUUCUUUUUGUAGGAAAUAAAUUUGGAUUCUGGUUCUGGAUAUCUGUGAAGCAAAGAAGCAAAGGGGUUAGGGCAAAAAACAAGGAAAUCUCUUAUGAACAUUAAAUUGUCAAGAACCUGAUGCCAGCUGCCGAAAAAAUUUGGUUUGGUGCGAAAAGGCACAUUUUCUCUACAUCAUGCCGCAUUAUGGACUAAAAGAGAAGAAGAAGAAAAGAGAACAAAAAGCAACUAGGCAAAAAGAAGAGAAGAACACGUUAGAAGCUGUAUUCAUAAGCUAAAGUUGAUGUUGAGUUCAUGCAUCCAUUAGAGAGAGCGAAGGAAAAGGCAUAAAGGAAGGCAGCCCCUCUCCCUCGAAGGCAUCCACCACCUGCACCCCACUUUCUUUCCAAGCCAGCCCUGGGAUGGGUUGGUAAAUCUAAAACUCGAAGACACCUUUUCAUGGCUUCCUCUCUUCUUCUUCUCCUCAGUUCAUAGUGUUCUAGGCCACAAAUCUUUCCCAUAUCCCACUCCUCUGCUGAAUCUGCUGCUACAUCUCUCUGUAACUGAAUCUCUUCCCUAUCUUAAGUCUGAACCCUGCUUGUUCUUGCUGUUCUUGGCUGUAAACUCUUCAUCCUGCGUGCAAAACUCUUUUUCCAGUUUAGUAAUCUAUUCUAGUGUUUAUUUGUGACU
Long non-coding RNA from Brachypodium distachyon (stiff brome), 1979 nucleotides. RefSeq lists it as uncharacterized. Lineage: Eukaryota; Viridiplantae; Streptophyta; Magnoliopsida; Poales; Poaceae. The transcript has 2 exons. The record is from RefSeq and is a predicted model, not a curated record.